UACAGAGGGGGCAAGCGUUGUUCGGAAUUACUGGGCGUAAAGGGCGCGUAGGCGGCCUUCUAAGUCGAACGUGAAAUCCCCGGGCUCAACCCGGGAACUGCGUCCGAUACUGGAAGGCUUGAAUCCGGGAGAGGGAUGCGGAAUUCCCGGUGUAGCAGUGAAAUGCGUAGAGAUCGGGAGGAACAUCUGUGGCGAAGGCGGCCAACUGGACCAGCACUGACACUGAGGCACGAAAGCGUGGGGAGCAAACAGG
Molecule: ribosomal RNA, 253 nt
Filed under: uncultured bacterium
Lineage: Bacteria
Description: partial 16S ribosomal RNA
Rfam family: Bacterial small subunit ribosomal RNA
Source: RNAcentral